UACGGAGGAUUCAAGCGUUAUCCGGAUUUAUUGGGUUUAAAGGGAGCGUAGACGGCUGAGCAAGUCUGAAGUGAAAGGCGGGGGCCCAACCCCCGGACUGCUUUGGAAACUGUAUAGCUAGAGUGCAGGAGAGGUAAGUGGAAUUCCUAGUGUAGCGGUGAAAUGCGUAGAUAUUAGGAGGAACACCAGUGGCGGAGGCGGCUUACUGGACGGUAACUGACGCUGAGGCUCGAAAGCGUGGGGAGCAAACAGG
RNAcentral lists this ribosomal RNA (253 nucleotides) under uncultured Eubacteriales bacterium. Its description in RNAcentral is "uncultured Clostridiales bacterium partial 16S ribosomal RNA". It matches the Rfam family "Bacterial small subunit ribosomal RNA", at positions 524 to 776 of the family's 1533-position model. The record is from RNAcentral. Lineage: Bacteria; Bacillati; Bacillota; Clostridia; Eubacteriales.